This 558-nucleotide long non-coding RNA is filed under the name Homo sapiens (human). Its description in RNAcentral is "non-protein coding LINC01388:9". Lineage: Eukaryota; Metazoa; Chordata; Mammalia; Primates; Hominidae. The record is from RNAcentral.
AGGCGCUGUUGUAGGAGCAAGGUAUACAAUGAUGAUCAAGGCAGAUGCAGCCCUUACCUUCAGGUCGUGGAGUCCGGAUACAGACUGGAGGCAGAGGCAGCUGUAAGAUGUGUGACAAAUGCUGCGCUGGAUCAGCCCAUGGUAUUAGGAGAGCAGCUGAGUGCCACGUGCUGACAUCACUAAGAUCAAUACAGCAAACUCUGAAAGAUGGACGGAGAGACAGGAGAUGGUCCUUUAUAAUGCAGUGUGAUCUGUGCUGCAAUAGAGUUUUGGAAGCUAGAAGUUCAAAACGAGGUGUUGGCAGCACCAUGCUCUCUCUGAAGAUGCUAGGAAGAAUCUGCUCCAUGCCUUUCCAUUCGCUUCUGGGGUUUCCUGCAAGCCCUGACAUUCCUUGGCUUGUAGAUACACCACCCCAGUUUCCGCCCCCAUCAUCACAUGGCCUCCUCUCUGUGUGUGCCUCUGCGUUCCCUCUAUUCUUCUUCUAAGGACACCGACACCAGUCAUAGUGGAUUAAGGGUCCACUCCUAACCAAUUACAUCUGCAACAACCCUAUUUCCA